ACAGAAAGUUCACCAGCGUGCCAGAGAGAACACAACAUGCAUGGUUUGAGAGUGUGUGAAAGACCAGGGAAAACCACCAGAGUCACCUUUGACUGUUCUGUGCUCAUUUCAUGUUACCAGUGAUUCCCUUUAAUCGUCAGCGCCACUACUGAAACAAAGCUCCAGUGUCAACUUAAUUCAGUGGAAAUCAGGCUGAAACUGCAACCUUUCCCAAACUCAUGUAGGGUAAAUACCAUUUUCUCCCAACCAGUAAGGUGUACAAAGUUCUUGAAAGAAUUACUUUUAUGGCCCUUUUCCCCGUCUUCUGACAUGAAUCACUGAAAGUAGAAAGCCCAUUUAGUAAAGAAAAUUGAAAAUGCCUUUUUCCUAGCUAGAAAACAUUACCAUCUAGUUCACUGGAACUACUUCAGCUGUUGUACUUGUCUCAAAUACUUUUCUGUCAGCCCCUAUUAUCCAUGCAUUCAAUAAGCAUUCUUUAAAUG
RNAcentral lists this long non-coding RNA (482 nucleotides) under Bos taurus (domestic cattle). RNAcentral describes it as "long non-coding RNA NONBTAT000402". The record is from RNAcentral. Lineage: Eukaryota; Metazoa; Chordata; Mammalia; Artiodactyla; Bovidae.